CAGUAGCCACGGUAAUACGUAGGUGGCAAGCGUUGUCCGGAAUUAUUGGGCGUAAAGGGCCCGCAGGCGGUUUCUUAAGUCUGAUGUGAAAGCCCCCGGCUCAACCGGGGAGGGUCAUUGGAAACUGGGAAACUUGAGUGCAGAAGAGGAGAGUGGAAUUCCACGUGUAGCGGUGAAAUGCGUAGAGAUGUGGAGGAACACCAGUGGCGAAGGCGACUCUCUGGUCUGUAACUGACGCUGAGGAGCGAAAGCGUGGGGAGCGAACAGGAUUAGAUACCCGGGUAGUCCCUGUCUCUUAUAC
Molecule: ribosomal RNA, 301 nt
Filed under: uncultured bacterium
Lineage: Bacteria
Description: partial 16S ribosomal RNA
Rfam family: Bacterial small subunit ribosomal RNA
Source: RNAcentral